UCUCUCCUGUCAAGUAUAUGUAUUUAAAUAUUUGUUCGUACUUUUACUGUUCUUGCAUUAUUAAGAUAUUACUCGCCUGGAUCUUGUUUGAACUUUUGUGUUCUAGUGCUAAUCUUAAGUCUGCCCUUGCUUCUUUUUCUUCCUUUUUAUGCUUUCCUUGAUCAAAUGAACUAACUGGCAAUGAAGUCACUUCUUCAUAUUGUGAACUAGACUUGUUCACUUUUACUAUGUAUGAAACUGGAUCUGUCCUUGGCAUCAGAUAAAGUCACUGAUUAACAAUACACUGUUGUUAUUGGUAACACAAAACUAUAGCGUUAUGACCUUCAAAUCACACAGAAUAAUUGUCAAUAAAUCAUGGAAAUACUUCAACCCAUGUAAUGUUGCCAGAUUUUAUGAUCAAUCUCCUCAUUCCAACUGAUGGAAAGUAAGCAUCCCUGCAUAUUGACUUGUGGACCUACUUUUCCAUGGACAGGCUCAAAAAGUUUUGAUCCAUUUUUAUAAAUUGGCAAAAACAUC
This 516-nucleotide long non-coding RNA is filed under the name Nicotiana benthamiana. RNAcentral's name for it is "long non-coding RNA (NBEN_LNC002335)". The record is from RNAcentral. Lineage: Eukaryota; Viridiplantae; Streptophyta; Magnoliopsida; Solanales; Solanaceae.